AAUCAACGCUGGCGGCGUGCCUAACACAUGCAAGUCGCACGAGAAAGGGCUUUCGGGCCCGAGUAAAGUGGCGCACGGGUGAGUAACACGUGACUAAUCUACCUUCGAGUGGGGAAUAACCUAGGGAAACCUGGGCUAAUACCGCAUAACACUUACGAGUCAAAGCAGCAAUGCGCUUGAAGAGGAGGUCGCGGCAGAUUAGCUAGUUGGCGGGGUAAUGCCCACCAAGGCAAUGAUCUGUAUCCGGCCUGAGAGGGCGGCACGGACACACUGGAACUGAAACAACGGUCCAGACUCCUACGGGAGGGCAGCAGUGGGGAAGUUUU
Molecule: ribosomal RNA, 326 nt
Filed under: uncultured bacterium
Lineage: Bacteria
Description: bacterial SSU rRNA
Rfam family: Bacterial small subunit ribosomal RNA
Source: RNAcentral